AGAAUGAACGCUGGCGGCGUGCUUUACACAUGCAAGUCGAGCGAGGCGUGUAGCAAUACACAGUCGAGCGGCGAACGGGUGAGUAGCGCGUGGAUUAUCUGCCCUGAGGUGGGGGAUAACCCGGGGAAACUCGGGCUAAUACCGCAUAUGACCGUAAGGUCAAAGGGGGGUCGCAAGAUCUCUCGCCUUUGUGAGGAGUCUGCGUCCGAUUAGCUAGUUGGUAGGGUAAUGGCCUACCAAGGCGACGAUCGGUAGCCGGCCUGAGAGGGUGAUCGGCCACACUGGAACUGAGACACGGUCCAGACUCCUACGGGAGCAGCAGUGGGAAUUUGCGCAAUGGGCUAACGCCUGACGCGAGACGAACGCCGC
This 369-nucleotide ribosomal RNA is filed under the name uncultured soil bacterium. RNAcentral's name for it is "bacterial SSU rRNA". It matches the Rfam family "Bacterial small subunit ribosomal RNA", at positions 26 to 400 of the family's 1533-position model. The record is from RNAcentral.